Molecule: long non-coding RNA, 900 nt
Filed under: Capsicum annuum
Lineage: Eukaryota; Viridiplantae; Streptophyta; Magnoliopsida; Solanales; Solanaceae
Description: long non-coding RNA (CANN_LNC006654)
Source: RNAcentral
UAUAUUUUAAUUUUUGUAAGAAAAACAUAAUCUGUUUUGUUAACAAAAAAGAAAGAAAAGACAAAGUAUCUUAGGAUUCUAUAUUUUUAAAUAUAUAAAUUGUCUUUUGUUUUUCCAAACUAUUUUCUUAUAGAUACGUCAUUGAAAUUCAAAAUUAAACUUAAAUUAGCAUAAAUUCGUUUUCUUUUAAAAAAUCCCUUUGUUAAUGAAAAAGAAAGAAAAUAUCAAAGGAAAAGACAAAUUGUAAUUUAAUCUUUAUAUAUAUGUGUGUGAAUUUGAAUUUAAAUUUGUAGGCAUAAGGAUAUGAAAUUUGCAAGAGAGCAACGUGUUGAAUUCAGUCAAAAUACAGAUUAAAAGAUUUUAUAUGGAGGCAAGACCUUACUUUUCAAAGGUCCUAGUAAGAUUUGUCCUGUGAAAACAGUUGAAAUUUAGUGAAUUGAAAAGGUGAUAAAUAUGCCAUGUAUUUGAAACAUAUCAUGAUUAUUUAUGUUAUAAGUUCAAAAUUUUUAUGUUGUUUUUAUUAUUUAUAAUUACUCGCUCCAUUCUAAAAUAAUUGAAUUGUUAGGAUAUGACACACCCUUUAAUUAAGAAAAAUGUCUAAGAGCAUAAUUUGUAGAAUACUUUUCACUUUUACCCUUUAAGUCUUAACCUAUAUAACCUAUUCUCCUAGGAAAUGUGAAGUAUUUUAGAGCUUCAUUAAAUGAAAGGAUAAAUAUGAAAAAAAGUUUCAACAAUUCUUUUAGGCUUUGAAAAAUUCACUUAUUUUGAACACCAAAAAAUACCUCAACAAUUUAAUUAUUCUGGAAUGGAGGGAGUAUUACAUUUAUCUUUUGUUAUAGAUGUAACUAAGGAAUUUAAAGUUUCUAUAUAUAAUGUAUACAAAUAUCUCAUAAAUAUAAA